ACAUCCUCCCGGUAGACAUGGUGGUGGUGCUUGCCCUGGUGGUGAUCAGAAGAGAGGAGGAGAGAUGUGUAUGUGCAUGGAAGAGAGCAAUUGAUGGAGCGACAAUCCGGGAGCAAAUGGAUGGUGAUAACCAUAUUGCAACGUUGAUGGUUGAGCUUUCCCGUUGUCAAGACUAUGAAAAUGGGGAUGGUACCACUGUUGUGGUGGUCUUGGUUGGAUAUAUUUUUUGGGCAGGUGUAGCAAGCUUCCUGUUGAUCAUGUUUUAUCUUGACACACUGCUACAUAUCUUGAAAUAGCAAGAUCGGCGCUGAAAUCCAAAUAACGGGACAACCGGACAAUGCUGAUGCGGAGACAACAAAGUGUACGUGCAGAUGACGCUGCGGCCACUGAACCCGGAUUUCACAUAGAAGCCUCCUUCUCAGGAGCUAAUUGCACAGG
Long non-coding RNA from Lolium rigidum, 438 nucleotides. RefSeq lists it as uncharacterized. The record is from RefSeq and is a predicted model, not a curated record. Lineage: Eukaryota; Viridiplantae; Streptophyta; Magnoliopsida; Poales; Poaceae. The transcript has 6 exons.